GCCAGUAUGGUAUAGUGGUUUGAGCAUUGAACUAAGACUCUAGAGACCAGGGUUCAGUUCCCUGCUCAGCCA
Molecule: non-coding RNA, 72 nt
Organism: Phrynosoma platyrhinos (Desert horned lizard)
Lineage: Eukaryota; Metazoa; Chordata; Lepidosauria; Squamata; Phrynosomatidae
Source: the annotation of a GenBank genome assembly